UUUCAUAGAAAUCAAAAAAUUGUAAUUAAAGAUUUUUUUUGAAAAUUGAAAAUUUUGGUCCAAAUUUAGUCACUAUCUGCGUCAGUCUAUCAGCUUGGUAAAAUUCUUUUUCUUGUUCAAAUUUUUGAAAAGUAUAAUUAUGACGUCAACCGAAUACGCUGUUGCACAGUGCAAGCUAAAAUUUACACGACAAAAAAAUCGAAUGCAAAGAUAGGGAGGUAAUAAAAGAAAGUAAGGAGGGAGGGGCGCUGUCAACCACCAACUGCCAACUGGCAAAUGAAGUCGUAAAAAGAUUGGCCAAAAGUUUUUGUGUGCUGCGCACAGAAGUACAUGCAUAUAAAAAUGGCGAAGUUGGGAUUAGUUUCAUCAAGGAUAAGCCAAAUGCUGGACACGCUGGCUGACUUCGUACAUAAACGAGGCGAGGUUUGCCGGACUGCUGCAGGACUACAAGACUAGCUGACAGGAUUUUGAUCUCGGUUGGCUGGCUUUUUCGCAAUUUCAGACAAAAACUUUUUAUGCAGUUGCCUGUUGGUUCUACUCCAGCUGAGUGGCAUACACGAAUACUUUUACGUAUAUAUAUGUAUGUGUGUUAUCGAGUAGAUAUAUAUACAUAUGUAUAUACAGGGCAAACUUUUUUUGAAACCAUUUUACUUGUUACACGUAGUCACAAGCAAUCAUAUACGUAUGUAUGUCCGUAUGUGCUUAUUUUUGAGUAUAUUCCUCAUCCUUACAUA
Long non-coding RNA from Drosophila montana, 734 nucleotides. RefSeq lists it as uncharacterized. The record is from RefSeq and is a predicted model, not a curated record. NCBI's taxonomy places the organism in Eukaryota, Metazoa, Arthropoda, Insecta, Diptera, Drosophilidae. The transcript has 2 exons.